CCCAUGCUCCUGCACAGUUUACAACAUUGUUUGUUCUAAUUGUGCCAUGAUUGGUUUCAACAGAUUGAACUCGUUUUAAACCAAGCAUGACAACUUUUCCUGCACCAAGUUUAGAAAGAUGAUAAGCUGUGCUGCAUCCAACACUGCCAGCCCCUAUGACAACCACAUCUGCUUCAUUGGUGAGGGUGUAGUAGAGAUGCAAUGUGUUGUAUGCCAACUAGAGUUAUGUCCUUGGCUUUCCUGUAACAGUAAUGAACUGCUUUUGGUUGGUGAUAUCUGCAAUAUUCUUCACCACUUUAGUGUUGGACCACAUACUAGCAAUAAAAAGUUUCUUAGUGUCUCACAAAGAAUGGGAAAGUUCUAUACAUGUUGGUUUUGACAUACCAAAGCGGUGACUUAAAAACAAAAAUAAUUUCCGACGAGUGAAACGCGUAUCCACACACGCCGUCUACGCUGUUCCAUUCAAUACAUGCUUCCCCUCCGAAAGGAUAUGCGCUGUUGUACAGAUAUAACGGAGCUUGGCCGGAAACUUUUGCAGCAGUUGACGAAACGGACGCAAAUCUGUUGGAAUAUAUCCAAUCGUCAGCUACACGAUCGAAAUGUCCGAAGGUCAAAGUUGCCGUCAUUAUACAUGGUCGGAAUGUUAAGGUCAGGAUGCUGUGACGCUUAACCUUUUUAAUUACCUCGUCGCCUUGGCGACAAAACGGGUUAAUUAAACAGUGGUGAUUGGAAGCAUGAAGUGCAAAUGUUAUACGAGACAGAAUUAGCACUUACGAGACCGCUAAACAAUUGAAUCUUGCAGUCCUGCACAAAGUACUUAAGAUUUUGUCACGUAGGCUGCAUGUGCACCUGUAAUAUUUAUUCUGUUUUUAUCAGCUAAUUUACAAAAUGCGUUUGUAAAUAGAGUUCAUUUUGGA
Molecule: non-coding RNA, 917 nt
Organism: Ciona intestinalis (vase tunicate)
Lineage: Eukaryota; Metazoa; Chordata; Ascidiacea; Phlebobranchia; Cionidae
Source: RefSeq, a predicted model, not a curated record